GACGGAGGGUGCAAGCGUUGUUCGGAAUUACUGGGCGUAAAGCGUACGUAGGCGGCGGAUUAAGUCGAAUGUUAAAGCCUGAGGCUCAACCUCAGAGAUGCACUCGAUACUGGUCUGCUAGAGGGUGAUAGAGGAAGGCGGAAUUCCCAGUGUAGCGGUGAAAUGCGUAGAUAUUGGGAGGAACAUCAGUAGCGAAGGCGGCUUUCUGGGUCACACCUGACGCUGAGGUACGAAAGCGUGGGGAGCAAACGGG
Molecule: ribosomal RNA, 253 nt
Filed under: uncultured bacterium
Lineage: Bacteria
Description: partial 16S ribosomal RNA
Rfam family: Bacterial small subunit ribosomal RNA
Source: RNAcentral